GUAUCUAUGCUGCAGCUUCUGCUCUGUUUGCACAACACCUGGACAAGCCUCAACCUUCUUACCCAUAGUUCCCUUGUUUGUAGGUUAUAAAGCUUGUCUGUCAGCGGCAGUGGGGCCUUAGCUGGAGGGAUAACUCCAUAAUUCCGUGCGGCUACCUGCAAUAAACUGAAGAGUUCUCAUCAGAGAUCUCUGAUGAGGAAGACAGGAUUCUUGACAGAAGAGAACUUUCGGAUGAAUCAGUUUGAAGCAGAACUGGAGUUUAUUAAGAAGAGCUAUUUUCAAAAUUUCAUCUCUCAUUGACCCUGGCAUUCACCAGUCAACAAGGCUAGCUAGCCAAUAAGCUGUAUGGACCUACUUGUCUGUGCAUCCUGCUGGUCCUGGAGUUACAGGCAGACCUGGUUGUUCCAGAACUCGCCAUAUAGACCAGUCUGGCUUCUAACUCUGAGAUCCGCCUGCCUCUGCCUCCCAAGUGCUGGCUGGGAUUAAGGGAAUAUGCCAACUAUGUUUAGCAGGGACAGAGAGCUCUCAACUGAAUACUGUCAGAGGGACAACUGGUGAGAAAUGACCAACAAAAGUCACCUCUUCCAAGACAAUCUGCUCCUCACAGAAAGAACCAAGUGUCCUGGGAGAACACGGUCUGAGCCGGGGAAUGGUAAACAUGUCAGGAUUAGUCAGGCUUGCCCUGCUUCCUAGCACGUGAAAGCCUGCUGCUGUCAGACACGACCUUGGCUCAGUUGCUCCUUGCUAACAGUAGGAUUCUUCCUCUUCCUAUAUAUAUAUAUGCAGAGACUGCAGGGCAGAUGGUCCAAAGUUAGCGCAUAGCAGAAACAGGGUUCACACACUGUGGUAGCCAUGGGGAUGGGGAGGGCUGGCGUUGAACAGGACUGGAGAGCGGUUAGGAGACUGUGGCGACUGCAGCGCAGGCUCAGGGGUAGCAGGAUCACCACUUGCCUCCGAGCUUUGCUACACAAGUGUGCUCUGCAGAACUGCAGCCUGGGUGUCACCUUCAGAGCCUCUCCCAGACUACUGUAAAAGAACUCAGCCAGGUGUAGUGGCACACACCCUUGAUCCCAGCACUCAGGGAGGCAGAGGCAGGCAGAUCUCUGAGUUUGAGGCCAGCCUGGACUACCAAGAGAGUCCAGGACAGCCAAGGCUACACAGAGAAAUCCUGUCUAGAAAAAAAACAAAAACAGGAGACUCUCACGACUCUAAAGUACAUUAAAGUCUGGCAAGUGUUGAUAGAA
Long non-coding RNA from Meriones unguiculatus (Mongolian gerbil), 1244 nucleotides. RefSeq lists it as uncharacterized. The transcript is spliced from 3 exons. The record is from RefSeq and is a predicted model, not a curated record. Lineage: Eukaryota; Metazoa; Chordata; Mammalia; Rodentia; Muridae.